This is a non-coding RNA of Heterocephalus glaber (naked mole-rat), 4329 nucleotides long. The record is from RefSeq and is a predicted model, not a curated record. Lineage: Eukaryota; Metazoa; Chordata; Mammalia; Rodentia; Bathyergidae.
CGGGAGGGCUGGCGGUUCGCUCUGUGCGUGCGCGUCGGCGCCCCGCCCCACCUGCUGCCUGCACCUGCAAGCCCAGCCUGCAGGUGGGCUCCGGGAGCCGGGCUGCUGCGGCUCCGCCUCCCAGCGUCGCCUGCGGCCCGGGGGUCCCGACCCUAGCGAAGCCCAGAGCAAAACUGCAGAGGACAGGCGGGUGUUACUCCAGUGUUUGUACCAGGGCGCUCCUGUGCGGUGAAAGCCCAUCUCCUGAUCAGAUGAUGUACAAAUAAAAUAAAUAUAUGCUCAGUCCAGCCCUGCCGGAAGAGGCCCCUCCUGCUCCCUUGCACUAGGCACCAGCUCGGCCCUUCCCAAGCGUGGGCAAAUCCAGCCUGGGGCUCCAGGUCCACAGGGCUUCCCGGAAAACCACUUCCUCCGUCCUUAGCAGGAGGAAAAACAGAGAGGCAAGGGAGUUCAUUUCCCCCAAAGUGCACCAGAAGCAGUGCCUCAGAGGGGAUCGAACUCGGAACCUUACGCUUGCGGGGCAGGCGACGGAACCACUGAGCUUCAUCCCAGGCCCACUUUUGUGCUUUCUCUCUCAUCUUCCAAGUCAAACACUGAAGACGGAGGGGGUCCUGGACCUAGCUCACCAUUCUUUGUGAUGCCUCCUCUGGAAGCCCUGCCCAGUGCUAGACAGUCAGUGAUCCUCCUGCCUCGGCCUCCCGAGUGCUGCUCAGCCGUGGUCGGCCUAGGGUCACAGAGGGAGGAAGCGUGGAGCCCACGGUGGUAUUGAAGUGCGUGUGGUGGUGGGAUGCUAUUCUUCCCAGCCCUGGAGUGAAGAGGGGAUUUCUAAAGUCCACAGUGAGAUGCGGAUGCAGAGAUCUCACCCCAAGAGCACGCCCCCCGCUGCCCAGCAGGAGCCCGACGGAAUGUCCAUGGGGCUCCCAAUGCCCAGAGCUGGACACGGACACAACAGCCGACGGUGAGCCUCCAUGCAGAGCCCCCCCCCGCCGUGGGGGACAGCAGCUCUCGAACCUCAAAGUGUCACAGAAGCCCUGCCACGGACGAUGUGGAGAUCCUGAUGGAAAUCCUGUGUCCACCCGGCUUCGCUCAUGGACCUGACCAAUUUGCUUCCUGCCCCUAACGCACUGAGAUUCCAGGGGAGCGGCAGGCGGCUCCUCUCUCAGACCUUCUGGUCCCCCGCACUGGGGAGGCGCAGGCAGCCCGCAAGUCUGGGGUCCGACCAACCAUGAAGGAGAGAAAAACAAAGUGAAGCCAUUGUUCAAAGCCAUGAGAGCAGGCGUGGUGGUGCCCAGUUGUAACCCAAGCACUCCGGGAGGCUGAGGCAGGAGAAUCCCCAUUGGAGCCCAGCCUGGGCAACUAUGGGACUUGCCAAGAUCCUAUCUCAAAGCAAAACAAAACAUCUUUAAGAGAGGGCUCAGGAGGUGGCUCACUGUGAAGGCGGUGGGCUCCAUCCUCAGGGCCACAAAAAAUAAAACUGCUGGCUAAAAGUCUUUGUUUCGUAAAAAGCCAACAGAUCUGUGAAUGCAGUUAGUGUUCAUAUAUCCCUGUGGCAGUUUAAACAUAAAUAUCCUUUCCCUUUCAAAUGUAUAUAAGAAACUUUGUAAGAAUAAUAAACACAUGGUGUAAAAAAAAAGAAAACCUAAAAAACCAAAGUCAAACAAAAAGAGAAAUGAAAUAAAGCUAAAAAAAAAAAAAAAGAGAGAGAGAAAACUAAGGCAGCCAGGAAAGCUACCAUGAAACUGAGAAGUGAGAUUUGUAGCAGGUUAAUAAGGCAAAAUACAAACGCGAGGCCCAGAGGCCUGGAGGGACACGGCCACUGUGAUUUGGAAGCGUUCUUUCUGCCCCACAGCCCAAUAGCAGGGAAAAUAGAUAAAUAAAAAGUUUACGGUUUCAGAUACACAGGAACGCGCUUAAUAGUUCUUUCUAUGAAGCACUCAGGUGCCAUAUCAAGGGGCUGUACACUCGGUGACUUAAAGCAACAAAGAGCCAUCUUCUCCCAUCCCAGGGCCUGGGAGGCUGAGACAGAGGCGUCCCGGGCUGCGCUCCCUCCACAGGCUCCCGGGAGACCCUCCCGCCUCUGCCUCCUCCGGGGCUCCAGGCGGCCCUGGGCUGCGGCCCCAUCAUGCCAGGCUCUGCCUCCGACUCCACCCGGCUUCUCUGUCUCUGUGUCUGCGUCUCCUCCUCUGCCUCUCGUGAGGACGCUGCCACUGGAUUCAGGAGGCUGAGGCAGGACGGCCUCGGCUCCAGAGCCUCCUCUGAUUCCCUCUGCAGCAGCCCGGUUUCCACUCAGGCCCCGGCCCAGGUCCUGGGCUCAGGACCUGGACCCACCUUCGACCCCGGGCACAGCCAGGCUCACUGAACAGGCUCCACGAGAACGGCCAGGCCAACAGCCCUGUCUGCUUGGUCGUAGGCAGUGAGCUCCGUGCCACGCGAUUCGGCAGAAACAACUUCAUGGUGGAUGCAGCCCCAGGACCGGGCCCCUUCCUGCGAAGCUGUUUCCAGAAACUAAAUGUUGCUGCGCCCCGCGAUAUUUCCAGAGAGGCCCCUGGGGCGUACAGGUACUGUUUCCUGUAGGAGAUCAAGAAGAGGACCAGUCGUGAUUAGAUCAAACCAUGACCUCAAACCGUGCCCAGAGAUGAAAGCAGGAUUUUCUGUUCGAGGCACGGCCUCCCCACGUGGUGCAGGCUGACCCGAAUCUCACUACGGAGCCCAGGUUGGCCUGGAACCUGCAGCCAUCCUCCUGCCUCAGCCUCCCAAGUGCUGGAAUGACAAGUGCAGACCACGUGAAGUUGACACCGAAAAGCCUGCCUCCCGAGGGGGAACGAGGCUCUCCUCAUGGUCUGCAGAGACUGGACGGCCACCCCAUAGCUCUGCCAGGUUCGGGGGCUGCAACUCAGAGGUAGGCCUGGGGCCAGCACUGUCCAAGUCCCGAGGCGGCAACCUCUGCCGGGCCCAUGAGCAGGGGCGGGAACAGCAGAGACGUCCUGUACUGCAGGGGAACACAGGGCCAGGGCAGGCGCCAGGCCGAGAGGUCAGGCUGCAAGAGCCAGAGCCCCAAGGGACGUGUCUCUACGAGGGGACUAGGCGGCUUCACUUCAUCACCCUGACACCUCUGCACACCCCUGUUCCCAGACACCUCACCUCCGGAGCGAUCUGCUUAGGCCAGGUCUUCGGGCUGGGCUCAAACUGGCAAAUCUGCCCGCCUCAGCCUCACGUACCAAGAUAAUGCUCAAAUGCCAUAUUUUGAACAUCAAAAUUAAUGCCAAAAAUGCGAUGAACAAAACAAUCAGCGCUCUGCUGAUUCCUAUGGGCGCCUGAAGAAAAAUAUGUAGAAGAAAGCUAUCCGCACCUCCGUGAAGCUGUCCGGUGCUUUGCCCUCUGAGAGUUCAUUCUUUUUUUUCCGGAACAUUUACAUAGCAACAAAUAUAAUGAAAAUAGAAACACAGAUGUGUGUAAACUAAGACCGUUGCUUUAAAUAUUUAAUUUAUACCCAAACUAGACCUGUUUUCUGGUAAUUGUACUUUCCCGGCUUUAGUGCAGCCGUGCUUAUGAAAAUUAGUCUGAAGCUAGGCACGGCGCGCACACCUGUAAUCCCAGGACCGUGGGAGGCUCAGGCAGGAGGUUCACAACAGCGAGGCUACCUGGGGAAACUUAGCGAGACCCUCUCUCAAAAUGAGAAAUAAAAAAGUGUUUUAAAAGGGCGGGGGCUGGAGCACAGCAGGAAGGGUCUGAGUUCUAUCCCCUCUGGCCCACUGUUGCUUCCGUUUUGGGUGCUUUCUUUCCUCACAAACUUUUCCCUUUUUUUCAGGGUUUCUACACACUGCCGCACAUUUUUAGUGGUGCUGAGCACUAAGUUUAAGCUGUGCGGCUGAAGCCAGGGGUGGUGCACGCCUGUUGUCCCAGCACUCAGGAAGCUGAGGCAGGAGGAUCACUUUGAGUUCCAGGCCAGCCGGGGCUACACAGCGAGACCGUGUCUCAAAUGAACAAAGAAACUUGUGCAGCUGAGCUGAGUCCGCCAGUGCUCAAACCCCCGCCCUGCCCAGCGUGCGCGGCCCCCCUGGACUCCUCAAUUUCCUGGGCUCCCUCAGACAUGGGGCCUUGACCUACUUUUUUCAACUUGUAACUUUCUGAUGAGUCCCCAGUUGCAGUACAUAACCGUGGGGAGUCGUGCAUGGACAGAACACAUCUCAGUCCGUUUUCUGGCCCCUUGCCCUCCCUCCUCUCUACCUGUUGGUCCACUUCUGUUUUCCAAAAGGUCCAGCUCUGAAUUUCCUGCUUUUUUUUUUUUUUGGUCCUUAUUUACAUGUGUUUAUUUACAUGGGUUUCUCAGAU